UAGGUUUAGUUUUAGGUUUUAGGCUUAGGUUUAGGUUAUAGGUUUAGGUUACAAGUGUAGGUUAUAGGUUUAGGUUAGGUUAUAGGUUAAGGUUUAGGGAAUUGAGAAUAGGUUAAGGUUUAGGUUAGGGAGUUGAGAUUAGGAUUAGGUGUAGGUUUAGGUUUAGGGAUUUGAGAAUACAUUUAGGUUUUAGGUUUUGGUUGAAGUUUUAGGUUAUAGGUUAAGGUUUAGGUUUUAGGCUUAGGUUAAGGUUAGGUUAUAGGUUAUAAGUUUAGGUUAUAGGUUAUAGGUUAAGGUUUUAGGUCAUAGGUUUUGGUUUAGGUUAAGGUUAAGAUUUAAGUUUAGUUUUAGGUUAAGGUUUAGGUUUAGGUUAUAAGCUAUAGGUUUAGGUAAUUGAGAAUAGGUUAAGGUUUAGGUUUAGGAAAUUGGGUUCAGGUUCGUGUUCGGGAUUGGGUUUAGGUUUGGGUUUUCAAGUGUAGGUUUAGGUUUAGGUUAGGGAGUUGGGAUUAGGAUUGGGUGUAGGUUUAGGUUUAGAGAUUUAAGAAUACAUUUAGGUUUUAGGUUUAGGUUUAGGUUUUAGGCUAUAGGUUAAGGUUUAGGUUUUAGGUUUAGGUUAUAGGUUAUAAGUUUAGGUUAUAGGUCAUAGGUUUUAGUUUAGGUUAAGGUUAUAGGUUUAGGUUAAGGUUUAGGUUUAGGUUUAGGUUAAGGUUUAGGUUUAGGUUAUAAGCUAUAGGUUUAGGGAAUUGAGAAUUGGUUAAGGUUUAGGUUUAGGAAAUCGGGUUCGGGUUCGGGAUUGGGUUUAGGUUUGGGUUUUCAAGUUCAGGUUUAGGUUUAGG
This is a long non-coding RNA of Magnolia sinica, 836 nucleotides long. RefSeq lists it as uncharacterized. The transcript has 4 exons. Lineage: Eukaryota; Viridiplantae; Streptophyta; Magnoliopsida; Magnoliales; Magnoliaceae. The record is from RefSeq and is a predicted model, not a curated record.